RNAcentral lists this ribosomal RNA (440 nucleotides) under uncultured bacterium. RNAcentral describes it as "partial 16S ribosomal RNA". It matches the Rfam family "Bacterial small subunit ribosomal RNA", at positions 338 to 795 of the family's 1533-position model. The record is from RNAcentral.
CCUACGGGAGGCAGCAGUAGGGAAUAUUGCUCAAUGGGCGAAACCCUGAUGCAGCAACGCCGCGUGGCGGAUGAAGGUUUUCGGAUUGUAAACCCCUUUUGUUAGAGAAGAUAAUAACGGUAUCUAACGAAUAAACACCGGCUAACUACGUGCCAGCCGCCGCGGUACUACGGUGGGUGCAAGCGUGACUCGGACUCACUGGGGGUAAAGAGCGCGUAGGCGGGAUAGCAAGUCAGAUGUGAAAUCCUAUGGCUUAACCAUAGAACUGCAUUUGAUACUGUUAUUCUAGAGUAUGGGAGAGGUAGGUGGAAUUCUUGGUGUAGGGGUAAAAUCCGUAGAUAUCAAGAGGAAUACUCAGUGCGAAGGCGACCUGCUAGAACAUAACUGACGCUGAUGCGCGAAAGCGUGGGGAGCAAACAGGAUUAGAUACCCCAGUAGUC